This 861-nucleotide ribosomal RNA is filed under the name Arenivirga flava. Its description in RNAcentral is "bacterial SSU rRNA". It matches the Rfam family "Bacterial small subunit ribosomal RNA", at positions 41 to 911 of the family's 1533-position model. Lineage: Bacteria; Bacillati; Actinomycetota; Actinomycetes; Micrococcales; Microbacteriaceae. The record is from RNAcentral.
GGCGUGCUUAACACAUGCAAGUCGAACGAUGAAGCUGGAGCUUGCUCUGGUGGAUUAGUGGCGAACGGGUGAGUAACACGUGAGUAACCUGCCCUUGACUCUGGGAUAAGCGCUGGAAACGGCGUCUAAUACCGGAUACGAGCUUCCACCGCAUGGUGAGUUGCUGGAAAGAAUUUCGGUCAAGGAUGGACUCGCGGCCUAUCAGCUUGUUGGUGAGGUAACGGCUCACCAAGGCGACGACGGGUAGCCGGCCUGAGAGGGUGACCGGCCACACUGGGACUGAGACACGGCCCAGACUCCUACGGGAGGCAGCAGUGGGGAAUAUUGCACAAUGGGCGCAAGCCUGAUGCAGCAACGCCGCGUGAGGGACGAAGGCCUUCGGGUCGUAAACCUCUUUUAGCAGGGAAGAAGCGAAAGUGACGGUACCUGCAGAAAAAGCACCGGCUAACUACGUGCCAGCAGCCGCGGUAAUACGUAGGGUGCGAGCGUUAUCCGGAAUUAUUGGGCGUAAAGAGCUCGUAGGCGGUUUGUCACGUCUGCUGUGAAAACUGGAGGCUCAACCUUCAGCCUGCAGUGGGUACGGGCAGACUAGAGUGCGGUAGGGGAGAUUGGAAUUCCUGGUGUAGCGGUGGAAUGCGCAGAUAUCAGGAGGAACACCGAUGGCGAAGGCAGAUCUCUGGGCCGUUACUGACGCUGAGGAGCGAAAGCGUGGGGAGCGAACAGGAUUAGAUACCCUGGUAGUCCACGCCGUAAACGGUGGGCGCUAGAUGUGGGGACCAUUCCACGGUUUCCGUGUCGCAGCUAACGCAUUAAGCGCCCCGCCUGGGGAGUACGGCCGCAAGGCUAAAACUCAAAGGAAUU